UACGGAGGGGACUAGCGUUGUUCGGAAUUACUGGGCGUAAAGCGCGCGUAGGCGGAUUUGCAAGUCGGGGGUGAAAUCCCGAGGCUCAACCUCGGAACUGCCUUCGAUACUGCAAAUCUCGAGUCCGGAAGAGGUGAGUGGAAUUCCUAGUGUAGAGGUGAAAUUCGUAGAUAUUAGGAAGAACACCAGUGGCGAAGGCGGCUCACUGGUCCGGUACUGACGCUGAGGCGCGAAAGCGUGGGGAGCAAACAGG
RNAcentral lists this ribosomal RNA (253 nucleotides) under uncultured bacterium. RNAcentral describes it as "partial 16S ribosomal RNA". It matches the Rfam family "Bacterial small subunit ribosomal RNA", at positions 524 to 776 of the family's 1533-position model. The record is from RNAcentral.